This 253-nucleotide ribosomal RNA is filed under the name uncultured bacterium. Its description in RNAcentral is "partial 16S ribosomal RNA". It matches the Rfam family "Bacterial small subunit ribosomal RNA", at positions 524 to 776 of the family's 1533-position model. The record is from RNAcentral.
UCCGGAGGGGGCUAGCGUUGUUCGGAAUUACUGGGCGUAAAGCGCACGUAGGCGGCUUUGUAAGUUAGAGGUGAAAGCCCGGAGCUCAACUCCGGAACUGCCUUUAAGACUGCAUCGCUUGAACGUCGGAGAGGUAAGUGGAAUUCCGAGUGUAGAGGUGAAAUUCGUAGAUAUUCGGAAGAACACCAGUGGCGAAGGCGACUUACUGGACGACUGUUGACGCUGAGGUGCGAAAGCGUGGGGAGCAAACAGG